UAUUUUACAACUAUGAAGCUUCAACAAUGUAGAACCAUGAGAUUCCAUGAAAAUAUGGUUCAAGAUUUCUGACCAAGAACAUAACCAAGUAAUUGAGAAUCCAAUCACAUUAGGAUCGAGAUUCCGAUAUAUCGCAUUGUCAUGGCUUCAAAUCAAGAUUUCAAGGUGGAGUCAUUAACAUUUACUCUCCAGCUUGAGGGGGAC
This 204-nucleotide long non-coding RNA is filed under the name Lupinus angustifolius (narrow-leaved blue lupine). RNAcentral describes it as "long non-coding RNA (LANG_LNC000205)". Lineage: Eukaryota; Viridiplantae; Streptophyta; Magnoliopsida; Fabales; Fabaceae. The record is from RNAcentral.